ACCGCCGUCUCCCUGUCCGGCCGCCACGUACUCCUGGGCUGCUGCCGCCAGGGGCCCCGGACGCCCGGUGACGGGGUGGGCGCGACCGUGGGCUGUCCCCUCCGUGGAGAAGUGUGGAAGUCACGCAUCCACCCUCCCCGCUCUCCACAGUGACAAGCGGCUAACCGGGCUCUAACAGGUCUCCCCACGCCCAGUCCACGCCCUGCGGAGGGAAAGCGGGGCUGUUGCUGACACAUUGCGUGCUCUCGGGGACACGAGACAAAGAACGGCCCGAUGGUGCAGUUAAGCUGGAGAGGAGCGUUGCCAUCAGGAAGGAGAUGAAUGAAAAUUUGACUCGGGGGCGUGGCCGAGCACCCUUCCCAGACAGGGUCCCUGAACCUGUGCCAUCUCGGGAGGCCCUGUGACCCUCCUGGCUUGGGGCCGGAUGGGGUGAUUCUUCCUCGUGUCCGGGGGCGGGGGGGGGGGAAGCUGAGCCGUUGAGCCUGGGACAAACGUCUGGCGGGCAGUGGGAGGCCAUCAGGAGCCACACACAGACAGGCCUGGGCUCAGCAGGUGUGCCGCCAGGGGGCACCACAACCUUUGCGACCUUGGUGGCGGUCCUGCCGGGAGAGACGGUGGCCCGAGGCUGGCGAUUCCUUCCCAAAGGGCCGCCGCCAUCGGGGGGGGGGGGGGGGGCACCGUGGGGAAGAGGACCUGAGCGGAGCAGCCUCCCUCCAUCCCUGUGCUGGAGAGGCCCCCCACCCCCCGCCCUCACGACGAGCACCCCCGCUGUCGUGGGAGGCGCUCCCCACCCUGCCCGCUGCGGGCGGGACCUGCCCACUGCUGGUUGUGCCCGAUGACUGGGGCCUGACCCGACCUUCACGACAGCAGUAUUUUAUUAGUGCCACAAUCCACUUUAUCAAUUGCUGCUGCCUUUUAUUACCACUGGGGAGCUUUAUCGCAGCGGCCACCUCGCCUCCAGCUAAAUGAGGAUUAAUAUUUUAACAGGAUUAUGUGCUGUGGGUUAGCAGUGCUCCCUGGGGACGCGGGGUGCUCCCCUCCCUCGCGGGCUGUCCCCUCCCCGCCAGGCCUCCCUCCUGGCGUGCAGGGAGGUCGGGUCCUGAGAUAGGGCAGCCGGGCCGCCUUGUUCGGACGCCAGGAUGGGGGGCUGGGUGGGAGGGCUCGGGGCUGUGGGGACAGUUUGCCUUGAAGAGCGGGGUCUGUCCUGUGGGUGGGAUGGCCCUGCAGGGUGAGGUCCCUGAAGAGACCAGGUUGUUUCCUGGGGUCAGUGGGCUUGACCACCAUGGGGGAGGGAGACGGGGGGGUGGGGGGCACCGCCGUGCUGAUGCCCACCUGCCCCAGGAUCUCAGCCCGCCGAGUGACACAGUUUGUAACUUUGCCAGCUUCGGGCCCUCUUGUGCGUUCUCCUGGAAAAACAUUUCCAUUUCCUCUGAAGUUUUAUAAAAGCAAGACUGUUCCCAUCCCUCUCCUGAUUCCAUCAUGGAAGGGACAAGACCCAGGUUCUCAGGCGGGGCUUUCAGGACCUGUGUGCUCGGCCCCUCGUGGGUCCCCAGUGUCCGGGGGACCCCUGCAUCACCCUCCUUCCCCGGAGCCGCCUUCUCCUUCACGAGCUGGAGGAGGGGCCGGCCGGACCCACCCCCUCCCCCCCAACUUGGGAGCUGUCCUCCACGGGGCUCCACGGGUCCUGCCGAACCACUGGUCACCUUCUCUGUAGUGGCAGUUCACAAGAGCUGAAACACAGAAGCAAGCCGGGUGUCCACCAUCGGCUGAGGGUCUGUCCACGCAAUGGAGUUUACGCAGCCUGGAGCAGGAGGGGCCUUCCGACAGCUGGUACCGUGCGGACGGACCGGGCGGACGCGAUGCCAGGUGGAAUCAGCCAGUCACAAAAGGAUAAACAGUGUAAGAUUCCAUUUAUGUGAGGCUCCUACGGUCGCCAGAUUCACAGAGGCGGAAUGAAGGAAGGGGCAGCAGAGGCCGGGGAGUUAGUGUUUCGUGGGGACAGGCUUUCGCUUUGGAAAGACGACAGUGUUCUGCAGGUCAGUCGCACGGCAACGUGAGUGUGAAUUUCGUGCUACGUGUGUUUUUCUACGAGUAAAAAUUAAAAAAUAAAAAAACCC
Leopardus geoffroyi (Geoffroy's cat) is the source of this 2117-nucleotide long non-coding RNA. RefSeq lists it as uncharacterized. The record is from RefSeq and is a predicted model, not a curated record. The transcript is spliced from 2 exons. NCBI's taxonomy places the organism in Eukaryota, Metazoa, Chordata, Mammalia, Carnivora, Felidae.